This 258-nucleotide ribosomal RNA is filed under the name uncultured bacterium. Its description in RNAcentral is "partial small subunit ribosomal RNA". It matches the Rfam family "Bacterial small subunit ribosomal RNA", at positions 26 to 285 of the family's 1533-position model. The record is from RNAcentral.
AGGACGAACGCUGGCGGCGUGCUUAACACAUGCAAGUCGAGCGGUAAGGCCUCCUUCGGGGGUACACGAGCGGCGAACGGGUGAGUAACACGUGGGUGACCUGCCCUCAGCUCUGGGAUAAGCCUGGGAAACCGGGUCUAAUACCGGAUAGGACUGCUUGCCGCAUGGUGGGUGGCGGAAAGUUUUUUCGGCUGGGGAUGGGCCCGCGGCCUAUCAGCUUGUUGGUGGGGUGAUGGCCUACCAAGGCGGUGACGGGUA